RNAcentral lists this ribosomal RNA (442 nucleotides) under uncultured bacterium. Its description in RNAcentral is "partial 16S ribosomal RNA". It matches the Rfam family "Bacterial small subunit ribosomal RNA", at positions 338 to 795 of the family's 1533-position model. The record is from RNAcentral.
CCUACGGGGUGCUGCAGUAGGGAAUCUUUCACAAUGGGCGAAAGCCUGAUGGAGCAACGCCGCGUGCAGGAUGAAGGCCUUCGGGUUGUAAACUGCUUUUAUAAGCGAGAAAUAUGAUGGUAACUUAUGAAUAAGGAUCGGCUAACUACGUGCCAGCAGCCGCGGUCAUACGUAGGAUCCGAGCAUUAUCCGGAGUGACUGGGUGUAAAGAGUUGCGUAGGUGGCAUAAUAAGUAGCUAGUGAAAUCUGGUGGCUCAACCAUUCAGACUAUUAGCUAAACUGUUAAGCUCGAGAGCGUUAGGGGUAACUGGAAUUUCUAGUGUAGGAGUGAAAUCCGUAGAUAUUAGAAGGAACACCAAUAGCGUAGGCAGGUUACUGGGACGGUUCUGACACUAAGGCACGAAAGCGUAGGGAGCAAACGGGAUUAGAUACCCUAGUAGUC